CAGGCCUAACACAUGCAAGUCGAGGGGCAGCGCGGAGUAGCAAUACUCUGGCGGCGACCGGCGGAAGGGUGCGUAACACGUGAGCAACUUGCCCGUGACAGGGGGAUAAGCGAUGGAAACGUCGUCUAACAUCCCGUAACACGAGGGGAGGCAUCUCCCUUCGUUGAGAACUCCGGUGGUCACGGAUGGGCUCGCGGGGCAUUAGCUAGUUGGCGGGGCAACGGCCCACCAAGGCGACGAUGUCUAGGGGUUCUGAGAGGAAGAUCCCCCACACUGGAACUGAGACACGGUCCAGACUCCCACGGGAGGCAGCAGUGAGGAACAUUGGACAAUGGAGGCAACUCUGAUCCAGCCAUGCCGCGUGAAGGACGGAGGCCCUAUGGGUCGUAAACUUCUUUUGUCAGGGAGCAAUAAGGGCCACGCGUGGUCCGACGAGAGUACCUGGCGAAUAAGCAUCGGCUAACUCCGUGCCAGCAGCCGCGGUAAUACGGAGGAUGCGAGCGUUAUCCGGAUUUAUUGGGUUUAAAGGGUGCGUAGGCGGACGAUUAAGUCAGCUGUGAAAUGCCCGCGCUUAACGCGGGAAGUGCAGUUGAUACUGGUUGUCUGGAGUGCCGUUGCCGUGGGGGGAAUGUGUAGUGUAGCGGUGAAAUGCAUAGAUAUUACACAGAACGCCGAUUGUGAAGACACCUCACGAAGCGGUAACUGACGCUGAGGCACGAAAGCGUGGGGAUCGAACAGGAUUAGAUACCCUGGUAGUCCACGCAGAAAACGAUGAUGACUAACCGUCGGCGAUAGACCGCCGGUGGCCAAGCGAAAGCGAUAAGUCAUCCACCUGGGGAGUACGACCGCAAGGUUGAAACUCAAAGGAAUUGACGGGGCCCGCAUAAGCGGAGGAACAUGUGGUUUAAUUCGAUGAUACGCGAGGAACCUUACCCGGGCUCGAACGGCAGAGGAAGGAUGCGGAGACGCAAACGCCCUUCGGGGCUUCUGUCGAGGUGCUGCAUGGUUGUCGUCAGCUCGUGCCGUGAGGUGUCGGCUUAAGUGCCAUAACGAGCGCAACCCUUGCCGUCAGUUACCAGCACGUAAUGGUGGGGACUCUGGCGGGACUGCCACCGCAAGGUGAGAGGAAGGGGGGGAUGACGUCAAAUCAGCACGGCCCUUACGUCCGGGGCGACACACGUGUUACAAUGGUGGGUACAGAAGGAAGCUACCUGGCGACAGGAUGCAGAUCUUUAAAACCCAUCUCAGUUCGGAUCGGAGUCUGCAACCCGACUCCGUGAAGCUGGAUUCGCUAGUAAUCGCGCAUCAGCCAUGGCGCGGUGAAUACGUUCCCGG
Molecule: ribosomal RNA, 1335 nt
Filed under: uncultured rumen bacterium
Lineage: Bacteria
Description: bacterial SSU rRNA
Rfam family: Bacterial small subunit ribosomal RNA
Source: RNAcentral